UAAAGACACCCUGUGCCAGUGUGUGUGGCGGGCAGGCGGGUCACGCGGCCACUUCCCCUGAAUGGCUCCAAUGUGCUCCUCUCCAGGAUCCCUGUCCCCAGGGGAAGAGGGAGGCCGGGCCUGAAUGGCCCAGUGUCCUCCACUCAGGGAGGAGAAGCCUCCCAGCAUUCACCGGGGAACUCCCCGCCGGUGAGAAAGCAGCUCUCAGGGAAGGUGGGGGAGGGUGGCAAGGAGCAGGUGCAUCGCAUCGCAGCCAUCUACCCCGGAGAUCGGCUGGCCGUUGCGAAGGUCUGCUAACUACGGAGACAGCCAGAGAGCCCGAGCGGUGGAGACAGCCAGAGAGCCCGAGCGGUGGCGACAGCCCUCACCGCGGCCCGGGUUGGGAUCCUGAUGUGGCUUCUCCCAGGCCAGGCCAGGAAGCCCAGAGUUUCUGCUCCACUUCUGGCCUCUGAGGAUAGAGGGACACGGAGGACAUCCGGGGAGGGAAGAUCCUUACAGAGUGAUAGACACACACCGCUCAGGCCGUGCUGGAGAGAGAGGCUGAGUGAGAGACUGUGGACAUAGCUCCAAUAAGAGAGCACUCAGAAAAGUUAGGAUGAGGCACAAAACUCAAAUCAGAAAUUCCAUUCGACGCAGCGAGGAAACAAGGAGAUAGAUCUUCUGUAAAUGAGAAGAGGAUCCAGAGAAGGAGGGAGAGGAAAGUAAAGAGAGUUAAGAUGUAUUAUGUACCUGUACCGCCUCACAAUGGAUGUGAUCGCUAUCUGGAUUGAUGGAUGUGACCACAAACAUACUAAUAAAAACAAAAAUCAAUAAAAUACACAAAGGGAAGUCAAGAGAAGAUAUUCCUAUAUUUUCAAUGAGAAUUCAGUGGCAAAU
Molecule: long non-coding RNA, 876 nt
Filed under: Chinchilla lanigera (long-tailed chinchilla)
Lineage: Eukaryota; Metazoa; Chordata; Mammalia; Rodentia; Chinchillidae
Description: lncRNA (ENSCLAG00000027712.1)
Source: RNAcentral